Molecule: ribosomal RNA, 368 nt
Filed under: uncultured bacterium
Lineage: Bacteria
Description: bacterial SSU rRNA
Rfam family: Bacterial small subunit ribosomal RNA
Source: RNAcentral
GACGAACGCUGGCGGCGUGCUUAACACAUGCAAGUCGAGCGGUAAGGCCCUUUCGGGGGUACACGAGCGGCGAACGGGUGAGUAACACGUGGGUGACCUGCCCUCAGCUCUGGGAUAAGCCUGGGAAACCGGGUCUAAUACUGGAUAUGACUCCAUGACGCAUGUUGUGGGGUGGAAAGCCUUGUGCGGCUGAGGAUGGGGCCCGCGGCCUAUCAGCUUGUUGGUGGGGUGAGGCCUACCAAGGCGACGACGGGUAGCCGGCCUGAGAGGGCGACCGGCCACACUGGGACUGAGACACGGCCCAGACUCCUACGGGAGGCAGCAGUGGGGAAGUCUUGCGCAAUGGGCGAAAGCCUGACGCAGCGACG